AAUGAACGCUGGCGGCAGGCCUAACACAUGCAAGUCGAACGGAGUUAUAUUGUAGCUUGCUAUGGUAUAACUUANUGGCAGACGGGUGAGUAAUGUAUAGGAAUCUACCUAGUAGUACGGAAUAAUUGUUGGAAACGGCAACUAAUACCGUAUACGCCCUACGGGGGAAAAAUUUAUUGCUAUUAGAUGAGCCUAUAUUAGAUUAGUUAGUUGGUGAGGUAAAGGCUUACCAAGACAAUGAUCUAUAGCUGAUCUGAGAGGAUGAUCAGCCACACUGGAACUGAGAUACGGUCCAGACUCCUACGGGAGGCAGCAGUGGGGAAUAUUGGACAAUGGGCGAAAGCCUGAUCCAGCCAUGCCGCAUGAGUGAAGAAGGCCUUCGGGUUGUAAAGCUCUUUUAGUGAGGAAGAUAAUGACGGUACUCACAGAAGAAGUCCUGGCUAACUCCGUGCCAGCAGCCGCGGUAAUACGGAGAGGGCUAGCGUUAUUCGGAAUCAUUGGGCGUAAAGGGCGCGUAGGCGGGUUAGUAAGUUAAAAGUGAAAUCCCAAGGCUC
RNAcentral lists this ribosomal RNA (554 nucleotides) under uncultured Hyphomicrobiales bacterium. RNAcentral's name for it is "bacterial SSU rRNA". It matches the Rfam family "Bacterial small subunit ribosomal RNA", at positions 28 to 610 of the family's 1533-position model. Lineage: Bacteria; Pseudomonadati; Pseudomonadota; Alphaproteobacteria; Hyphomicrobiales. The record is from RNAcentral.